UAUUCCAGCAGCCGCGGUAAUACGUUCCCGGGUCUUGUACACACCGCCCGUCACACCACGAGAGUUUGUAACACCCGAAGUCGGUGAGGUAACCUUUUGGAGCCAGCCGCCGAAGGUGGGACAGAUGAUUGGGGUGAAGUCGUAACAAGGUAGCCGUAUCGGAAGGUGCGGCUGGAUCACCUCCUUUCUAAGGAGAAUAGAGACGUGACGUAUUUUGGUCAGUUUUGAGAGAACUUACUCUCUUAAUUGUAUAUUACAUACAACGAAUAUGGGCCUGUAGCUCAGCUGGUUAGAGCGCACGCCUGAUAAGCGUGAGGUCGGUGGUUCGAGUCCACUCAGGCCCACCAUAUUCUUGUUUAUUGGGGCCUUAGCUCAGCUGGGAGAGCGCCUGCCUUGCACGCAGGAGGUUAGCGGUUCGAUCCCGCUAGGCUCCACCAAUAUUGUUCAUUGAAAACUAGAUAACAAGUAAAGCAAGGUUAAACCAUAUAACUCUCAUUUAAUGAGAAAACCGAGUAAACGAUCGCUACAACACUGUUAGUGUUGAAAUAACCAAUCAAUGGUUAAGUUAGAAAGGGCGCACGGUGGAUACCUAGGCACACAGAGA
Molecule: unclassified non-coding RNA, 604 nt
Filed under: uncultured organism
Description: partial contains 16S-23S ribosomal RNA intergenic spacer and 23S ribosomal RNA
Rfam family: Bacterial small subunit ribosomal RNA (bases 1-187)
Source: RNAcentral